This 254-nucleotide ribosomal RNA is filed under the name uncultured bacterium. Its description in RNAcentral is "partial 16S ribosomal RNA". It matches the Rfam family "Bacterial small subunit ribosomal RNA", at positions 524 to 776 of the family's 1533-position model. The record is from RNAcentral.
CACGUAGGGCGCGAGCGUUGUCCGGAAUUAUUGGGCGUAAAGAGCUCGUAGGCGGUGUGUCACGUCGUUCGUGAAAACCUGCAGCUUAACUGUGGGCGUGCGGUCGAUACGGGCAUCACUGGAGUUCGGCAGGGGAGACUGGAAUUCCUGGUGUAGCGGUGAAAUGCGCAGAUAUCAGGAGGAACACCGGUGGCGAAGGCGGGUCUCUGGGCCGAUACUGACGCUGAGGAGCGAAAGCGUGGGGAGCGAACAGG